This 2728-nucleotide long non-coding RNA is filed under the name Sparus aurata (gilthead seabream). RNAcentral's name for it is "lncRNA (ENSSAUG00010022319.1)". Lineage: Eukaryota; Metazoa; Chordata; Actinopteri; Spariformes; Sparidae. The record is from RNAcentral.
CGCCUCCAAAGGUCUGAUAACCAAUUACAGAUGAACAGGAAGUGAUUACAAAGAUAGAUGGACAGUGUUGCAGUUAGAAGACGCCACAGUACAUAGAGAUUUAGUUCAUUCCUCCAUAGAUCAACAUUAACCACUGGCAACAUUCCUACAGCCUAAUUCAAAUGAAAUCAAUAAUCUCUCAUCAAUUGUGCCUCUGCCAUGAAGAUGCAGACGCAGCAGAACCUGCCCAAGACCCAGUUCUGGAGGAGGCAGCUGAUGCACCUGAUGAAACUGUUUCACUGACUGGGACUGGAGCUGCUUAUCGCCGUCGCACAAAGUCGAGCGAGGACGCUGCUGCUUCACCAGAGAAAGAAAAUCUGUUGAAGUGAAAUGAAGACGGUGCCUCAGAUUGAGUCAGAAGUGUUUAUGACAACCUGGAUCAGAACUGAGUCAGGGAGGCAACAACCUGAAGAACUACUGCACAUAGACUAAAAUGAUCCUUGAAGACUUGAUCAGACAAACUCAGGUCCAUUAAACUGUGGUCCAUUAGCUGUUAGUCAAACUCUGGUGCUGAAUAAACAACCCGACAAAGCAAACGGACCAACAACAGUAUGUUGGGAUAGUUCUGAGUGUUUCUUCUCUGGUGUCACAAACAGCUGCCAGCUGGACUGUGGUUCUGGAGAAGAUGAUCUUUUCUUAAAUAUGGCAACUUUUAUCAACCACAUGAAGAAUUUCCCGUCUCAGAGGACUGAACAAAGGUCCGUUUAUUUCCACACACAGACUCGACCUUAUCGCCACAAUGAAGGCUCACAUCUAUUAUACCAUGGUCUGGGGGAAUACUCAAUUCUGAUUGGCUGCAGGGUGUCCAUUAACCCCUGAUAUAUGGACACCUACUAAGUAGUUCCAGUCAAAUUGACUGUUCACCGCUGUAAAUCAAUGCACUAGCUGGCGUAUCCAAUCUGAAUAUGUUAUUUCCAGCACUGAGUGCAGUCUGUCAGUCCUUCAGUGUCUUAUCCUCUGAACACCACAGGAUGGCGACUGUAACACACAAUCUGCAGAAAGUUCACUUCCCCUCUAAACUUACUGAUACGCGAAUAAUCUCACAUCCCGUUCACUGUUCAGCUCUCUGCUUCAGGCUGCGGCCACAGUAACGUUACACACGGCCGGUCAUUUGUUUGUGAAAAUCUUGCUGUUGAUUUGGGGACAAUGACAUGACUGGUUAGCUAGCUAAUCAUGUUAGCUAGCAUACUGUCAAAUUAUAUUUACUGUUUGUCAACCGUACGCAAUGUUAUUGACUUUGAAUCUUGCUAGCAUAGCGUUAGCUUUCUGGCUCAUCGCUGAGCGGACGAGAAUAUCUCCCGUUGCCGAGUCGUAUCUAUGAUCCGUCCUAUUUACUGGAGGAGUGAACAAGGUUUCUGUUGCAUAAGAAUCUUACGGGAGAUUAAUGACUGUUCCAGGUAUUAGUCAAACCCUCAGGCGUUACCAGGGAAACUUAGUUAUGGCUUGUGAAAAACUUUAUAUUUUGAUUGUAAAACACAUGAAAAUGUAAAUUAAUGGUCCGAAUUUCUUUUCUUUGUCAAGUGACCAUGGUAUAAGCGGGAUAAUGCCCUUCAAGGUGUCCAUAAUACAGGAGUUAAUGGACUUCGCGGAGGCAACCGUUCUUAGGCCUCCGCAUCGUCCAUUUACUCCUGUUUAUGGACACCUCGAAGGGCAUUAUCCCUUACUUAGUUCACACUGAACCAAGCAGCUCCAUCUGAAAGGCACUAAACUGGGUCCAGUUUAUAUAAACAGCCUGUCGGCCAAACGGAACCAAAAGUGGUGUGACGGUACACAUCAUGACGUUGACAUCCGUGUGUUUCUCAGUGUCACCUGUUAAUCUGAACAUGUACCUGCUGACUGUUUAUAAUCAUAUGGAUGCUGUUCUGAUGUGUUGUUAUUGAGGUCCAGACCCACCAAACAUCCUGGAAGGUGUCAAAGUUACGUUUUUUGCACUAAGUUACAUAAUUACAUCGUCACCAUCAGUGAACAGAACGCUGUCUACCUCUAUCACUCACAGGGAGGGAGGAUGUUUUCUGGGGAAAAGUUUUGGGCCGACCGUCGCUGUGAUUCUUUUCAAUACAAGUUAAAAGUUGGUAGGACAGACAGGAUGACAGACAGGAUGACAGACAGGAUGACAGACAGGAUGACAGACAGGACGACAGACAGGAUGACAGACAGGAUGACAAGUUUUUUCCUCAUUUAAGCUCCCAAAGACACUUCCAGUUACCUCAGUACUGUGUUUUGGUCCUGUUACGUUGCUUUGUGGGUUGAGGUUUGGAACAUUUCUUCUAUGUUUGAUGAGUGAAGGAAUUAUUUAUCUGUCAGACUGAACACCAUCAGACUGACACACUGCGGUCCACACUGACGCCAAACUGUCCUCCCUUAUUAUUAUCAGGACAUGAUUCCCACCUGGAAAGUGCUGUGUGAACGGGUCUGUGGUCUGUCGAUUUAUUAUGUUGUCUAUUUAUUUUUUUUUAGCUUUGAGUGUCCAGUGAGUGUUUCUGUAUCAUCUGUGUGUCUGAAUGUUGGGGUUUGUGUUGAAGUGUUGGAAUUUUUUAAAAAAUUAAACAAUGGUACUUGAAAAAGUAUUUGAUUUACUGUGUUGUCUUGUAUUUCACUAUAAAACUAAGUACAGAAAUGGUCAGAAGAAGUUGUGCGUGAACCAGAAUUGAGCGUAAAAACAGAAUAAUUAAGAAUAAACCAAAUGCUU